RNAcentral lists this long non-coding RNA (813 nucleotides) under Nicotiana benthamiana. RNAcentral describes it as "long non-coding RNA (NBEN_LNC012936)". The record is from RNAcentral. Lineage: Eukaryota; Viridiplantae; Streptophyta; Magnoliopsida; Solanales; Solanaceae.
GCAUCUCAAGUUUGUGAAGCUCUUCUAACUUUACUAGUAGAAGUAGGACAGAGGAAAAGGCAUGGAAUAUCUAAUAAAGAUGAAUGAAGCGUAUUCAAGAACGUACUCCUGAUCUGGAGAUUGAUACUUAACCUGUCAUCACAAUGGUAUUAUGUCCCAACAUGAAAUAUCUAAUAAAGAUGAAUGAAGCGUAUUCAAGAACGUACUCCUGAUCUGGAGAUUGAUACUUAACCUGUCACCACAAUGGUAUUAUGUCCCAAUUUCAGUUUACAUGUUCAGUGAAUUAGAAUAUAGAAAAUUAUCCAAUGCUCACCCCUACCCCCCUUUUUAAAUCGGAAAAAAGGGAAGAAAUGUGGUUGGAAAAAGAAGUGUCUGAAUAAGAAAAUUUCUGCAAUAUAUGAUGUGUAUACGCCUUCCCUGGAGUGAUCUGUGCGGCUGUUAGGCAUAUUAGACAAAAGAAUGGUCUUUACUGCAAUAUAUGAUGUGUAUACGCCUUCCCUGGAGUGAUCUGUGCGGCUGUUAGGCAUAUUAGACAAAAGAAUGGUCUUUACGGAUUGGUCGUUAUAUCUCGCCAUCUCCCACCUACCUAGGUUUGAAGUCCUUUUGGAGAUAAGCAACCAUCUUCCCUUUAAGAUAGGGGUUAGGGAGGUGAAAAUUCAAGUGCGAGUCCUUAUACAACGGAGUUGCGGGCUAGGUUUAUAAAAAAGACUUCUGAAACUUAUAGUCUUAAAAGCUUAAGGGAUAAAAGUUGGGGAUAUGAUAAUUUUGUGGUUAAAAAAACUUUUCACUAAGCGUAAAAUGGGUAACAUGAAG